RNAcentral lists this ribosomal RNA (432 nucleotides) under uncultured bacterium. RNAcentral describes it as "partial 16S ribosomal RNA". It matches the Rfam family "Bacterial small subunit ribosomal RNA", at positions 29 to 507 of the family's 1533-position model. The record is from RNAcentral.
AACGAACGCUGGCGGCAGGCUUAACACAUGCAAGUCGAGCGCAUCCUUCGGGGUGAGCGGCGGACGGGUGAGUAACGCGUGGGAACGUGCCCUCUUCUACGGAAUAGCCUCGGGAAACUGAGAGUAAUGCCGUAUACGCCCGCAAGGGGAAAGAUUUAUCGGAGGAGGAUCGGCCCGCGUUGGAUUAGGUAGUUGGUGGGGUAACGGCCUACCAAGCCGACGAUCCAUAGCUGGUUUGAGAGGAUGAUCAGCCACACUGGGACUGAGACACGGCCCAGACUCCUACGGGAGGCAGCAGUGGGGAAUCUUGGACAAUGGGGCAACCCUGAUCCAGCCAUGCCGCGUGAUCGAUGAAGGCCUUAGGGUUGUAAAGAUCUUUCAGCUGGGAAGAUAAUGACGGUACCAGCAGAAGAAGCCCCGGCUAACUCCGUG